This is a non-coding RNA of Gekko japonicus, 281 nucleotides long. The record is from the annotation of a RefSeq genome assembly. NCBI's taxonomy places the organism in Eukaryota, Metazoa, Chordata, Lepidosauria, Squamata, Gekkonidae.
AAGGGGUGACCGGUCAAUCAGUAACCCAGACACCAAGCCACCUAACCAUCAAGGAAGGAACUGCCACUUUUAUCAACUGCACCUAUCAAUAUUCCGGAGUGGUGUAUGUAUUCUGGUACAUCCAGCGGUCCCACAGUGAGGCCCCCCAGCUGCUUCUGACAGAAUUCACUGGAAAAGAGAAGAAAGAUGGGUUCUUUGCUGAACAUCUCAAGCCAGCCAGAUCCUUCCAUUUGGAGAAAGAAGCCAGCGUCCCGAACGACUCAGCCACCUACUUCUGUGCA